This 1749-nucleotide long non-coding RNA is filed under the name Medicago truncatula (barrel medic). RNAcentral's name for it is "long non-coding RNA (MTRU_LNC002424)". The record is from RNAcentral. Lineage: Eukaryota; Viridiplantae; Streptophyta; Magnoliopsida; Fabales; Fabaceae.
AUGUCACAUAUAUGUAUACUUUGAGACUUGAGUCUGUAACUAGAAUGAGAUCUUCAAGUUGUUGAAGAAAAAUCCAAGGGAAUGAGGUGACAUAAGAUGGUAUUAUUGUGGUUAAUAAUAUAUUUGAAAAUGAACUGUGUUUAAAUGACAAGUACCCCAUAGACAAAAUUCCAACAGCCUACAAACAAAUUUCACACCUCAAAAGCCCGAAAACAAACAGAACCCACAUGCUUCUUUUAAUUUCAUAUUCAAAUUAAAAAUUAAUAUUUGAAUAUUUGUCACAUAAUGGGUGUCUCUGUUUGUCAUUUUUAGUUCCUCCAAGUAUGCUCUUGGCAAUUAUACUAAGUAUAUAAUUAAUAAUCUCUUAAUUCUGACGCACUGUGAAUUGAAUCAGUAUGAAUAACUUUUCUUGUUGGAUUAUCUUGAUUUGUGUUUAUCAAAUUCUAUUUUAUAGGUGAAAAUUGUAGUUUUUUGCUUACACUCUACUUAAAUAACUGACAAUAAUUCUAUCACAUAUAGAUACAAAGUGGACUUGAGCUGAAAAUUACUAACUAGAAUGAAACAUGUAAAGAUAACAAACUUAACAGAAAAACAAACUAACCUAACUAACACGCAAGCAAGAGGAAAAAGUGAAACAUGCUAAUGAACAAACCUUAGUAUAAACAAUUCUAAUUGGGACAGAUAUGAUAUGGGUUGGAGCUAAGAUUCAAUAGAAAUUUACCCUACUUUGUGUUUUAUCCUUACAGAUAUGUUUGAAUUAGUGAUAUGAGGUUGAAUGAAGUGAAAUAUUAAUUAUAGGAUUCCAUAUAUGUACUAGAAAGAAGAUUACACUUCACAAGAAUGUAAACUUUUGAUCUAGUGUUUGUUAGAGUACAUUAAAAAGAAAGAAGAUUACACUUCACAUGAAUCAUAUUGUUAUGAAUUACACUCCCCCAUCAUAUCAGUUAUGAUUGAUUUACAAUGUAUAGUUGAAAAUGGCAUCAAGGAAUUGCAUUUGGAUUUUCCUACAGGUUUCUAAACAGGGUUGGCAUUAAGUUGCCUUCUUCAUUUUCUUGCGUUCUGAAAGGGUAUGAACCCUUUUAUAAGAACAAAGAAUAACAAAAUAACAAUGGAUGUGAUGGAACCUUGUACUGAUAUGAUUAAUUGAGUGAAUAGAACAAGAAUUGUUUAAUGUAAAUUAAGCAAAAGAGGACAGAAUCCUUUUAGGGAAAAAGCAGGAAAAGUGCAGUAGAAAAUCUGCAAGAGCAGUACAGGAAAAAAGGAAAUAAUGCAGAAUUCAGAGUCUCAGAGAGAGAGGCCUUGAGCUGUCAUAUUCCACACCCUCUCCUAGUGAAAAUCACUCUAUUUAAUCAAAUUUUUUGUUACGCUUUCUUUCUUUGUUGCUCCUUCUUAGUCCCUUGAUUUUUUUUUUUGAACAAUCUUCUUAGUCCCUUGAUGAUAGGAGGAACACGCACCAUCUGUCCUCUAGACCCAUGUGCUUCAACUGGUUUAUUCUCCCUUGGUUUAUUCUCCCUUGAUGGUGUAUCCUCUGAAAAGUGAAAUACUAACUAGUUAAAAAAAAAAAUCCUAGUUAACUUAGCUAGCUGCAGUAACAGAAUUCAAAUAUACCAUUAACCAAUGGACACAAACAAUUUUUCUGUACUAGGGAAACGAGAUAAUAUGCAACACUUUUUACAUGAGGGGAACCUUAAAACUGACCAUUCUAGAACCUGGGUGUACCUUUCCGUAAAUAAAUCAAAAGCCAUGCUC